GAUGAACGCUGGCGGCGUGCCUAAUACAUGCAAGUCGAACGAACAGACGCGGCGCUUGCUCCUCUGACGAUAGCCGCGGGCGUGUGAGUCACGCGUGGAUCCUCCCCCUGUCUGUCUGGUAAAUUCUCGGGACACGGGCGCUUAUCCCGGAUGAUCUCUUGAUCCGCGUGGUUGAAUGGUGAGAUACGGCGGUUGUGGAUGGAAUCGCGGGUUCUCAGCUUGAUGGUGGGGUAGUGAAUUACCAAGGCUUUGACGGGUAGCCGGCCUGAGAGGGUGACCGGCCACAGUGGGACUGAGAUACGGGCCAGACUCCUACGGGAGGCAGCAGUGGGGAAUAUUGCAAAAUGGGCGGAAGCCUGAUGCAGAAACGCCGCGUGCGGGAUGACGGCCUUCGGGUUGUAAACCGCUUUCGCCUGUGACGAAGCGUGAGUGACGGUAAUGGGUAAAGAAGCACCGGCUAACUACGUG
RNAcentral lists this ribosomal RNA (468 nucleotides) under uncultured bacterium. Its description in RNAcentral is "partial 16S ribosomal RNA". It matches the Rfam family "Bacterial small subunit ribosomal RNA", at positions 28 to 507 of the family's 1533-position model. The record is from RNAcentral.